CCUACGGGGGGCGGCAGUGGGGAAUUUUGCUCAAUGGGCGCAAGCCUGAAGCAGCAACGCCGCGUGGAGGAUGACGGUUUUCGGAUUGUAAACUCCUUUUAUCAGAGAAGAUAAUGACGGUAUCUGAUGAAUAAGCACCGGCUAACUCCGUGCCAGCAGCCGCGGUAAUACGGGGGGUGCAAGCGUUACUCGGAAUCACUGGGCGUAAAGGGAGCGUAGGCGUUCUUUUAAGUCUUCCGUGAAAGCCUGGGGCUUAACCCCAGAACUGCGGGGGAAACUGGAAGAAUAGAAUAUGGAAGAGGUCGAUGGAAUUUCUGGUGUAGGGGUAAAAUCCGUAGAGAUCAGAAGGAAUACCAAUUGCGAAGGCGAUCGGCUGGGACAUCAUUGACGCUGAGGCUCGAAAGCGUGGGGAGCAGACAGGAUUAGAUACCCUGGUAGUCCACGCCCUAAACGAUGGAUGCUUGUUGUCAGGGGGAUUCCUUUGGUAACUCAGCUAACGCAUUAAGCAUCCCGCCUGGGGAGUACGGUCGCAAGAUUAAAACUCAAAGGAAUAGACGGGGACCCGCACAAGUGGUGGAGCAUGUGGUUUAAUUCGAAGAUACGCGAAAAACCUUACCCAGGCUUGACAUGUUAGGAAUCUUGUGGAAACAUGAGAGUGCUUGCUUGCAAGAGCCUAAACACAGGUGCUGCACGGCUGUCGUCAGCUCGUGUCGUGAGAUGUUGGGUUAAGUCCCGCAACGAGCGCAACCCUCGUUAUUAGUUGCCAGCACUUCGGGUGGGAACUCUAAUAAGACUGCCUGCGCAAGCAGGAGGAAGAUGAGGACGACGUCAAGUCAUCAUGGCCCUUAUGCCUGGGGCGACACACGUGCUACAAUGGAAUGUACAAUGAGAGGCAAUACCGCGAGGUGGAGCAAAUCUAUAAAACAUUUCUCAGUUCGGAUUGUAGUCUGCAACUCGACUACAUGAAGCUGGAAUCACUAGUAAUCGUGCAUCAGCCAUGGCACGGUGAAUACGUUCCCGGGUCUUGUACUCACCGCCCGUCACACCAUGGGAGUUGAUAACGCCCUAAGCCUGGAUGCUAACCUUACGGAGGCUACAGUCCACGGCGGUAUCAGCGACUGGGGUGAAGUCGUAACAAGGUAACC
This 1145-nucleotide ribosomal RNA is filed under the name uncultured Campylobacterota bacterium. RNAcentral describes it as "bacterial SSU rRNA". It matches the Rfam family "Bacterial small subunit ribosomal RNA", at positions 338 to 1501 of the family's 1533-position model. The record is from RNAcentral. Lineage: Bacteria; Pseudomonadati; Campylobacterota.